CUGUCGGAUCGUUACGUCUCCGCGACACGGAAGCAGAUGUUCAGUCGUCAUUUGGAGAAAAAAAUAUAACUAGCGAACAAGCGCCAUUCUAUCUCAUUCAGCGGGUGUAGCUUCUUCUUCUAAUCCACAUUGAAAACAUGUGAUUUUAAAAACUAUUUUACUUAUCGUUUGUGAGGUACUGAUCCAAAGCAUCCGGAUGUCUGAAUUGUGAAACUAACAUUGCAGUUCCGUCUGCCUUAAGACAGUAUCCUACUUUUACUGGAGUCCAUUAAACUGUACAUUUCCGGGCUGGAUUCAUUUAUGAAAUCGAAACUGAGAUGAGGCAGAUUUCCGGAAAGUUAUGUUCAUGUCGUGUGGAUGUGAAUAUAAAAUAAAAGGCUAUACGGAAAUAUGAGUUGCGCAGUAUAGAAUAAGGAAAAGAGAGACUAAAACUUCAGUAUUGAAAGCAAGAUGUUAAUUUUUCCACAAUAGUGAGCCCCGUGUCGGGUAUAUUAUUGGCGGACUGCGAUACCCGGAAGCUGCUUUCUUUGCAGAUAUGAUCCCGGAGCCCUGAUCGUCUAAGCCAUGGCGCACCGUUCCCAUGAAGAGGUCUCACUCGCUGGCCUCUUGCUGGAUUACCUGAAGGAGCUCAGUGGUGCCCAGCUGAAGUAGUUUAAAUUCAGACUGAGUACCCUAGUAUAUAAAGAGUUAAAGCCCAUUCCUUGGGGUCAGCUGGAGGACAUUAAAGAUGAACCGGACAUCGCCUCCAUAAUGAGAAGUUUCUACAGUGAAGACAGUGCUCUCAAAGUCAUGCUUGAAAUCCUGGGGAAGAUGAACCUGAAUGACCUUGCUUUGAGACUUAAUAAAGACCUGCAGUGGAGUAAUCAUAUUUUUAACCUUUUUGUGUUUCUCCAAAAAUGUAACAUUUUUUUAAGCUCUUCAAAAAGAACAUUGUAUUAUAUAGCAUGAUAAGGAAAUUAUUUUGAAAUUCUCUCUUUUUUAAGGUAACGAGGCAGGAAGGGAGCUGGGUGUCAGAACUACUGGCCCAUCUUGUGUUCAAUAUUUCUGUUCCAUACUUAUGUAUAGGCACACACUGGGGACAAAUAUAUGAAUCCAGAUAUUUAUUCUUUGAUUAGCAUAUUAAGUUUAUGAAAGAGGACCCUUCUUGAGUCAGUCUUUGAGGAAGUCAAAAACCCAUUAACACGCUGUCUUCUUUGUACCUACACAGUGUCAGUGUGCAGAUGGACGAUGAGCUCCAAUCUAAAUGUGACAUCCAGAGUGUGUAUAUGUAUUUGUAUAUGUAAGAGUGUGUUUAUACAACAAUACAUUUUGAGGAAUUAUAUAAUAACUUUGGCCCUUACAUUUCAGGCAAGAAGUACAGAGACGUCCAAAGACAAAUUAAAAGCAGACUUAAGGAGAAGUUUCAAUGUAUAUUUGAGGCAUUACCAAAACAAGGGAAGACCACCUUCCUCAAUGAUAUCUACACGGAGCUGUACAUCACAGAAGCUGGGAAUGGGGGAGUAAAUAAUGAACAUGAGAUCCGGCAGAUUGAGACAGAAUUCUGGAAAAAUGCUUCCCCAGAACACACCAUCAAAUGCAGUGACAUCUUCAAUCCUCUCCCCAGCCAGAGGAAACGUAUCAGAACCGUUCUGACUAGAGGAAUCGCAGGUAUUGGAAAAACGGUGUCUGUGCAAAAGUUUGUUCUUGACUUGGCAGAAGAAAGAGAAAACCAAGAUAUGGAUUUUGUAUUUACUCUUCCUUUCCAUGACCUAAAUCGGAUGAAGGAGAAGCAGUGUAGCCUCAUUCAGCUCAUUCAUCAGCACUUUUCAGAAAUAAAAGAAAUGGAAAAGAUCUCAUGGAAGGACUUGAAGACUGUGUUUAUCCUUGAUGGCCUGGAUGAAUGCCGUCUUCCCCUUAAUUCCAAAGACAAUGAGACAUGGAGCGAUGCAACGGAGACCACUACAGUUGAUGUGCUGUUUCCAGAUUCAUCAGAAAAAAUGACGUCACCCCAGUCCUCAGCAGUCCAAUCUCUGUACCUUUUGCAGAAUAUCAAUCUGUCCCUGAUGUGUUUUCUUGGAGAGAAGCGGCUUCUUUGCUGCCCUUCUUGAAACAAGUCCAUCCUCCAAGUCUUCACCUCACUGUGCGUGCAGAUACACCUGCCUGCUGUCAGUCCUGAGUGAGCUCUGCACUGGUGGUGCCCCAAUCCUGCAGCUGAAUCAACUUUAGGAGACGGUCCUGGCACUUGCUAGACUUUCUUGGGCGCCCUGAAGCCUUCUUCACAACAACUGAACCUCUCUCCUUGAAGUUCUUGAUAAUCCAAUAAAUGGUUGAUUUAGGUACAAUCUCA
Paramormyrops kingsleyae is the source of this 2326-nucleotide long non-coding RNA. RefSeq lists it as uncharacterized. The record is from RefSeq and is a predicted model, not a curated record. Lineage: Eukaryota; Metazoa; Chordata; Actinopteri; Osteoglossiformes; Mormyridae.